This is a non-coding RNA of Oryza glumipatula, 207 nucleotides long. The record is from Rfam. Lineage: Eukaryota; Viridiplantae; Streptophyta; Magnoliopsida; Poales; Poaceae.
AAAAAGACAAACCCUAGGUUUCCGUAUUCAACAUUUGACUGUCCGUCUUAUAUGAAAUUUUUUUAUAAUUAGUAUUUUCAUUGUUGUUAGAUGAUAAAAUAUGAUUAAUAAUUUAUGCGUGACUUGUCUUUUUAAUUUUUUUCAUAUUUUUUUCAAAUAAGACGGACGGUCAAAAGUUAGGCACGGAAAUCCAGGGUUUGUCUUUCU